Molecule: long non-coding RNA, 147 nt
Organism: Oreochromis aureus
Lineage: Eukaryota; Metazoa; Chordata; Actinopteri; Cichliformes; Cichlidae
Exons: 3
Source: RefSeq, a predicted model, not a curated record
GAACCCUGUUGUAACAGUCUCACUCAGUCUCAGAGCACCAAUCAAAGCUCUGCUUCACAACAAACAACCAACCAGAAUGAAACUCAGGUUUACUCCUCUCUUCUUCAUGGUGAUCUUUCAGUCUAUGAACCAAUCUGAGGCUCUGGA